RNAcentral lists this ribosomal RNA (804 nucleotides) under Leucobacter tardus. RNAcentral's name for it is "bacterial SSU rRNA". It matches the Rfam family "Bacterial small subunit ribosomal RNA", at positions 640 to 1441 of the family's 1533-position model. The record is from RNAcentral. Lineage: Bacteria; Bacillati; Actinomycetota; Actinomycetes; Micrococcales; Microbacteriaceae.
GCUAGAGUGCGGUAGGGGAGAUUGGAAUUCCUGGUGUAGCGGUGGAAUGCGCAGAUAUCAGGAGGAACACCGAUGGCGAAGGCAGAUCUCUGGGCCGUAACUGACGCUGAGGAGCGAAAGCAUGGGGAGCGAACAGGAUUAGAUACCCUGGUAGUCCAUGCCGUAAACGUUGGGAACUAGAUGUAGGGCCUGUUCCACGGGUUCUGUGUCGUAGCUAACGCAUUAAGUUCCCCGCCUGGGGAGUACGGCCGCAAGGCUAAAACUCAAAGGAAUUGACGGGGGCCCGCACAAGCGGCGGAGCAUGCGGAUUAAUUCGAUGCAACGCGAAGAACCUUACCAAGGCUUGACAUAUGGAAGAACGGGUCAGAAAUGAUUCACUCUUUGGACACUUCUAUACAGGUGGUGCAUGGUUGUCGUCAGCUCGUGUCGUGAGAUGUUCGGUUAAGUCCGGCAACGAGCGCAACCCUCGUCCUAUGUUGCCAGCACGUAAUGGUGGGAACUCAUGGGAUACUGCCGUGGUCAACACGGAGGAAGGUGGGGAUGACGUCAAAUCAUCAUGCCCCUUAUGUCUUGGGCUUCACGCAUGCUACAAUGGCCGGUACAAUGGGCUGCGAUACCGCGAGGUGGAGCGAAUCCCAAAAAGCCGGUCUCAGUUCGGAUUGGGGUCUGCAACUCGACCCCAUGAAGUCGGAGUCGCUAGUAAUCGCAGAUCAGCAACGCUGCGGUGAAUACGUUCCCGGGCCUUGUACACACCGCCCGUCAAGUCAUGAAAGUCGGUAACACCCGAAGCCGGUGGCCUAACCC